Molecule: ribosomal RNA, 539 nt
Filed under: fungal endophyte
Lineage: Eukaryota; Fungi
Description: eukaryotic LSU rRNA
Rfam family: 5.8S ribosomal RNA (bases 176-329)
Source: RNAcentral
UUACUGAGUUUACGCUCUACAACCCUUUGUGAACAUACCUAUAACUGUUGCUUCGGCGGGUAGGGUCUCCGUGACCCUCCCGGCCUCCCGCCCCCGGGCGGGUCGGCGCCCGCCGGAGGAUAACCAAACUCUGAUUUAACGACGUUUCUUCUGAGUGGUACAAGCAAAUAAUCAAAACUUUUAACAACGGAUCUCUUGGUUCUGGCAUCGAUGAAGAACGCAGCGAAAUGCGAUAAGUAAUGUGAAUUGCAGAAUUCAGUGAAUCAUCGAAUCUUUGAACGCACAUUGCGCCCGCCAGCAUUCUGGCGGGCAUGCCUGUUCGAGCGUCAUUUCAACCCUCAAGCUCUGCUUGGUGUUGGGGCCCUACAGCUGAUGUAGGCCCUCAAAGGUAGUGGCGGACCCUCCCGGAGCCUCCUUUGCGUAGUAACUUUACGUCUCGCACUGGGAUCCGGAGGGACUCUUGCCGUAAAACCCCCCAAUUUUCCAAAGGUUGACCUCGGAUCAGGUAGGAAUACCCGCUGAACUUAAGCAUAUCAAUA